RNAcentral lists this long non-coding RNA (23513 nucleotides) under Capsicum annuum. RNAcentral describes it as "long non-coding RNA (CANN_LNC021169)". The record is from RNAcentral. Lineage: Eukaryota; Viridiplantae; Streptophyta; Magnoliopsida; Solanales; Solanaceae.
CCUUAUAUGCCUCUUUUGCUCCUGUACCUGAAAAUAGUUUAAUGAUUUUGCCAAAUUAAUUUUGAACAGAUCUUGUGUGUUUUUUAACGUAGUUAUAUAUGCUUCAUAUCUUUCGGACACCGUUACAAGAAUUUUUUUAACAAAUCUUGAAUUUUUAAAUUCAAGGCCUAAUAGUCUUACCUUUUUCACAAUGCCAAGCAAUCUGUUAAAGUAUUCCUCAAUUGUUUCAAACUCUUUCAUUCUCUGCAACUCGAAUUCUAGUUUAUCAGGGUAUUAGUUAACUGUUUCAGACUCUUUCAUUCUCUGCAACUCGAAUUUCCUCAUUAAAUUCAAUACCUUCAUUCCUCGUAUUCUUUUAUCUCCGACAUAUUAUUUCUGUAGAUAGUUCCAAAUUUCUUUUGGUGAUGUGAGAGUCAUAAUUCUCAUAAAAAUAAUUGUUCAAACAAACAAUAAAUAAAGUUGUUUUCGCAUUAGACUUGAUAGUUUUCUUUUCCUUGUGACUCUUGAUUUGGGUCAGGUGCAAUUAUUGGGCAGUGGAAUAAUUUCAUAAUCCUCUUUCAUGACUUCCCAAAAAGCAUGAGUCUCCAAUUAGAUUUUCAUUCUCACAUGUCAUAGUUGAUAAUUUUCACCAUUAAAAAUAGGAUGAAUCAUUCAGAAAAACUGUUUUCAGAAUCUAUCUUUUCACUUACAUGUCCCUCAAAAAAAUGACUCUAGAUAUCAAUUGUUGGCCUUUAUCAAAGAAAUUUAAAAAUAACAGAGAAAAAAUAUUGAGAGAAGAAUAUUGCAAUGAGGCCAAAGGAAAUUAUUUUAUUCAGUUUCAUUGAACUAUACAUCUAUAAGAACAAACGUAGAAAAAAGAAAAUGAUAAACUAGCUUAGACUUUCUCUGAAAAAUAUCUUUUAACUAACUAAUUACUAAGUAACAGAAAAAUCUAGCUAACACCCUAUUAACAAAGAUUUAUUAAAAAAUAAAAAGGGUCAAAAAUACUCCUGAAUUAUUUGAAAUGAAGCAAAAAUAUCUUCCGUAGUUUUUUGACUAAAUAAUACUCCUCCUAUAAAUUUUGGCUCUCUCCUCUCUAAUAGAAUAACACCAAGUACACCACGUGGACAAAAAAGGUCACAUGGCUAGUCUACGUCAGCGUCCACUUGUAAAAUCACCCCAUUUAACACCACUAACCAUCAACCCAUUGAAACCUUGAACUCUAAAUCAAAGGAUAAAGCAUGUUCAUGAACGCACUGUAAUUCUACAGCGAACAAACCAAAUUUUGAAUAAUUUCAACUACUCCAGUAGAUACUAUCUUUUCUUGACAUUGUAACACUAUCCUUUUUCCGGAAGGUACUCCCUUCAUCCCAAAUUACCUAUCUCAAAUUUUCUAAUUUGAUGUUCCAUUUUACUUGUAUUUUUUCAAUAAUCAAGAAGAGCCAAAAAAAAAUUUCAUGUUUUACCCUUUGCAUAAUUACUUUUUCUUUAAAUUAAAAUGUAAACAUCAUUUAAUAGGGGUACUAUGGUAAACUAGCCAUGUUAUUUAUUAUUUUUUUUAAUCAAUGUAUCACUUCAAUUUGAGACGGAGGGAGUAGAAUGCAACCAAAAAUGCUAAUCCCUUGUGUUUUUUCUAAUGGUAAAUGGAGGGAAAACAACUAAAAAGAAUAAGCAAUUAAGGAUACACUUGUUAUCCUCUUCCUUGUAUAAGAAAGCCAUCCUUCAAAUGUUAUAAUAAUAACACCAUACUAUAGGUAGCCCCAUUCCCACCCCUCAAAUCCAAACAGAAUAAAUUAGGAUUGAAUCAAAACAAAAAACUAAAACUGAAAAAACAAUACAAAUUAAGAGCCCGUUUGGGAUUACGGUUAGAAAACUGCUUAUUUGAGAAUCACUUUUUUAAAAGGGAUCUUUCAAAAAUAGCAGCAAGCCACAUUUUACAAAAUAACUAUUUAUAGUCGUUGUAUUCGAUUUAUGCCCGUCGUAUUCGGUUUUACAGAUAGUAUGUAUUCAUAUAAAAUAUGAAUACAGUCCCUAUUUAGUCGCGCCAAAAAUGAAAUUCAAUAUUUUUAAAAAGAAAAAAAUAUCAAUCACGCUUAUCUCGUUGAACUGAAUAUUUUCUUGCCUAACACUACCAUUAUCUUUUUUAUAUUAUUUUAUCUUUUGUGUUUUUCCCAUUUUUUCUUCUUCCUUUUUCUAUUUUUCCUACUUUUAUUUUUUUCGUUUCUUUCUUUUUAUUUUUUUAUUUUUUUCUCUCUUUAAUCUCUAACUUCUAUUUCUCUUUCUUCUUUUCUUUUCUUCUUUGAUUUUUUUUAUUUUCUUUUUUGUACUUAUUUUCUUUAUUAUUUUUUUGUUCUAUUUUAUAUUUUUUGUAUUUUCAAAAAAUAUGACUAGUCGAGCACAAGUCAUGGAUGAUAAUGUAAAUACCACAAUUGUUUAUCGUAUUUAUAGUCACACCGCCAUUUAUAUUUUGUAUUUAUUGAUACAACUGUGUUUGUAUUUGUAUUUUAAAGUUUGUACUUGUAUUUAUAUUUUAUAGUUCGCAUUUGUAUUUGUAUUUAAUAGUUCGCACUUGUAUUUGUAUUUGUUAGUUUGCGCCAUCAUUUAUAUUUUAUAUAAUUCUCACUUAAAUUUUAAAUAACUAUUGUGUAUUUGUAUUUUAUAAUUGAUUGCAUAUUAUAUUGGAUUAUAUUUAUAUUAUGGUUUUAUUGUGUUUGUAUAUUUAGAUUAUAUUUGGAUUAUACUUGUAUUUGUAUUCUAUUUUCGUUGAUUCCUUUUUAUUUUUUAAAAAUUAUUUUGUAUUUAUAUUUUUAAGUUGAUUGCAUAUUGUAUUUAACCGUGACUAUGUACAAUUUAUUAUUUAUAUUUAUAUACAAACAAGUAAAUGCAUUAAUUGUACUUUCUUGAUUUUAAAAUAUAUAAAUAUAUAAUGUAUCAUUUGUUACAAAUGUACUGUUUUGUAUUUGUAUAUCAAAAUUAUCAUUCAUAUUUGAAAAUAAAUAAAUAUCACUUGAUACAAAUACAAUGACAAACAAAUGAAGAUACAAAUGUACCAUUUUGUAUUUGUACAUCAAAAUUAUCAUUCAUAUUUGUAAAUAAACAAAGAUCACUUGAUACAAAUACAAUGACAAACAAAUGAAACAAAUGAUUUUACAAAUACAAAUACAAUACGUAUCUGUAUAUAUUGUAUUUGUAUAAAAAUUUGAGUCAUAUUUAUUUAUAUAAAUAAAUACAACUAGUAUCAAUAAAUACAAACAAGUAUUCGUAGAAAGAAACUUAAUCAUUCCUUUUCAAUAAUUAAAAAAUACAAAUGAUAGUUCACACUUGUAUUUAUAUAUUAUACUUUGCAUUUGUAUUUGUAUUUUAUAGUUCACGCUUGUAUUUAUAUGUUAUAGUUCGCAUUUGAAUUUAUAUUUUAUAGUUCGCAUUUGUAUUUAUAUGUUACAGUUCGCAUUUGUAUUUGUAUUUUAUAGUUCGCACUUGUAUUUGUGUAUGUUAGUUCGCACAAAUGAAAAGAAGGAGAGAAAUUGAAAAGAAAAAAAAAGGAUAAAAAUGAGAGAAAAAGAAGGAGAAAAAAUACAAAAAAAAAAGGAAAAAAAAGGAAAAAAUAAAAAGGAAAAAAAAAUAAAAAGAAAAAAAUGAAUAAAACGAAAAAAGAAAAAAGUGAAAAAAUAAAGAGAAAGCAACAAAAAAGGAAAAGAAAAACUGGAGAAAAAAAAAUUGAAAAAGAAAAAAAAGAAGAGAAUAAUAGAAAAUAGAAAAAGAGAGAAAAUACAUGAGAAAGACUAUGAAUUGUAAUUAGGAAUAAUUAAUAGGAAAGAGGGGGCUAUGAAUUAUAAUUAAUUAAAAAUUAGGCUUUAAGUGAUAAUAAAAGCUCAAUAGUGGCUAAUCCGAGUAAUUUUUCCUUUUAAAAAUAGUUUUUCAUAAAAGUGCUUUGAAAAAAAAAAUUGUGUUAGGUAAAUUCAUUUGAAAAGUGCUUUUGAUAAACAGAUUGCAUUUGAAUAAUUUUUUCCAAAAAGUAUUUUUUUGAGACAAAUGACCAAAAAGGAUAUGUAUUAAUAAACUGUUACUAUUAAAAUCAAUUUAUAUAGAAAAUUUAUUUUAAAUAUAUAUUAUAAUAUUUUUAAUUUAAAUUUUAUUUUUAUUUAAUUAAAAAGUACAUACUCUAAAAUUUUUAAUCAAUAUUUACAUAAAUAAAUUCAUUAAAAAAUAUUAAAUAAUUAUAUAUUGCUUAAAUAAUUUAAAUAUUAAUUGAUAACAUCAAACAAAAAUGAAUAAGAAAUCAUCAUAUUCAUAUAUGUACAAUAAAUGUAAUAAAUAUGUCAUUUUUCAUGAAUUAGUUAUUUAAAAUUAAAUAUUCAAAAAAAAAUUGUACAAAUACUGUCAAAAUACCAUUUAAUCUUGUAACAUAAUUCAUUUGUCAUUUGUUAUCAUUAAUAAUAAAAAAUAAAAAGGUAUAUAUUCUUCGAUCAUCAUCAUCAAUGAUAUUUUCAAAUUUAUUUAAACCAAAUGAGUGAAAAUGAAAUAAUAAUAAUAAUAAUAAUAAUAAUAAUAAUAAUAAUAAUAAUAAUAAUAAUAAAAUAUAUAAAUCAUUAAAUAAAAUAAAGAAUUAUGAUAUAAAUAUGUAGUAUAAAGUUUUAAAAUCAAACUUUAAUCAUACUUAUAAGAUAUGUUAAUUAAUUAAUAAUGGAUAUAUAUGUGAUUGAGAGAGUGUGUGUGUGAGUAAUAGGGAUAUUUGUGUCAUAAAAAAAUAAUUUUCUGCUUCUGCUUUUUUUGAAAAACAGAAAUUUUUUGCUUCUUCUCAGAAGCAGAAAAAUUACUUCUGCUUCUUUUUACAAGCACCUUUGAAAGUUUACCAAAGACUAUUCAUUUCCAAAAAAAUUUAUUUUUUUCUCAAAAUAAGUGUUUAUUUUGGGAUAUAAGCAAUCUCAAACAGACACAAAGUAACAUUUCAUAAUAAAAAAAGUUAAAGUAACUCGUAGCCAACAAAAAAACACCAACUUUAUCAUCAAUCAUCCACAAAGUCCAGUUUCUCGAUGAGCAUGAAUGUCAAAUCACACAAAUCCUUCAAAACUAGAGAGAUAAAAACUAAAUAGUGCACAAGCCCUCAACCCAAAGGAUAGAACAAACAAAGAAAGGAAAAAAAGGCUCACUAAUUUUCGUUGUAGGAAAAAAUGAUUCUAAAUCAAAAGCACGUGAAUGGGGCAAUUUUCUAUGUGGACGCUGACAUGAAUUGGUCAUACAACCUUUUUGUCCACAUGUAGUACUUAGUGUCAUUCCACUAGAGAGGGGGGUAUUUUUGAGCCAAAAAUCGGGGGGUAUUUUUACUCAAUUUUAGAUAGUGUAAGGGUAUUGUUGCCCCCUUUACGUUAAAAAACUAAAGCAAUAAAAUAAAAUAAAUGUAAUUCAAAAUCAAUAAUUCUUACAGUACCAACUAUAUUCAACCUCUCAUACCUCUUCAAUGCGCUAUCUACUUAUCUCCUUUUCACAUGUUCAAACAUCUCAUUCUUACUUUCCUCAUCUUGUCCACCAUAAAGGUCAUUUCGGCCUUAUUCUAAAUAUCUGCAUUUCUAGUCUUAUCCCUCCUAGUAUGUUUACACAUCUAUCUCAACAUCUGUAUUUUCAGAACUUAUAUCUUCUUGACAUGAAAGUUUUUUAAUUGAUCAUACACUCUGCUCAUAUAAUAAGGUAAUCUAACUACUGCUUUAUAGAACUUACCUUAACUUUUGGUGGUAUCUUUCUAUCACACAAGACUAUGGAGGCAGGCCUCCACUUCAUCCAUCCACACUGAUACAAUGUGUGACAUCAUCAUUGAUCUCCUUAUUAUCUUGGAUUAAAGACCCAACAUACUUGAAACUUUCUUUACUGGGGAUGACUUGUGUAUCCAGCUUUACUUGCACAUCAGCCUCAUGUGAUGCAUCACUAAAUUUGUACUCCAAAUAUUUUGUUUUAAUCUUGCUCAAACUAAAUUCUUUAGACUCUAAAGUCUCUAUACCUCCAAUCUAAAGCUCCCGCUAUGCAUAGGGUUCGAAAAAAGAUUGAACCACAAAGAUUUAAUAUACGUAGUCUUUCCUCAUAUUUCUGCUAAAGGUUGUUUCCACAACUUAAACCUGUGACCUCUGGGCCACAUGACAACAACUUUACCAGUUACUCCAAGGCUCCCUUCAAAAAUAAAAAAAGAAUAAGCAUUCAUAUUAUGAUUAAAAAAAACUAAGUUUAACCAAAAGUCAUUUCAAAUUAAAAAAAUAUUAUGAAAAAGAUGUCAUCUCUUAAAAUAUGUAAAUAAUUAAUUUAAAUAAUAUAAAAAUAAUCUAUAUAUAUAAAGGAGGCUUAGAGAUUUGCUUAUAUGACAUACUUCUAAGGCCACCAUUUGUAUUUAUCUUGUUUCAAUUUUUUGACUUUUCUCUCUUAUAUUUUCUUCAAAAUAUUUGCUGAAAAAUUAAUCAAUCUAUGAUUAAAUCUAUAAUUAUUCACAUUAAUUUGUAUUAAAUUUAUUUUUAAAGCCAAAAAUACUUUUUCUCUCCCAACGUUUCAAACAACUCUUAAGUUCCUAAUCGUGGAUUGGAUUGUAUAUACAGGUAGGAUUGGAGGAGUUGAGUGAUUUUUGUUGGAAAAGGAAAAGGAGUGUAGGUUUGAAUUUCUUUCGCUUAAAUUGUUGGUUUUUCUUCUUCUUAUAUUCUAGCAACAGUAAAUCCAUAACCAAAAACAAAAAAUUAAAACCAACUAACUAAUUACUAAUAGGAGCAUUAGCACAUACAGGAGGAAAACCCAAAAAAGUCUUGAAGUAGCAUUGAGACGAACUUCAACUUUUAGGCAUUUCCUCGAUGAUCAUUGAAGUGUAAGUAUCUUUGUUUGUCUUUGAAACCUAUAGUAAUUUAGUUAUUUGUUUCUGCUAAUAAGUAUAUUUUGAUUUGAUAAUCUACGGGAAGUACGAGGAGACUGAACCACCAGAAGUUAUAGACUUUAGUUACGUUGCGUAUGGUUAUAUCUACUACAAAGGAGUUGCUACUGAUGGAAAUUGAUAUACCAAACUCCUCUAAAUUUGAGUCAAGUAAUCCCACAGUGAAAACAUUUCUCAGGAGAUCUAAUGGGGUUACUCAAGAAGAUUAAGCAAUAAUGAGGAUUUGAAAUAUUUGUGCUAUUAUCUAUGUGAGUUACGUCUACUGAAAUAGAGUUGUGUGGAACUCUAAUCUUUUAUACAGUUGUUGCUACUCCUACAUUCCUUUGGAGGCUUAUACUUCAAUCAUUUGUACAUCCUUGGAGUCUGUGUGAAUUAUGAAGUGUCUUUUCAUUUUUCUCCUCCUUUCUUAUUUAUACACACAUAUGAACUAUGAUUUGUCCAUUCUAAAAUGGUAAGAAAAGUUAACUAAAAAAAUUAUUUGUGAAAUUUUACAGAAAAUUAGGAUGUUAAUUAAGAUGACUUGCUUGAAUAGUUAAAAAUAGAAUUAAUGGGGGAGAAUAAAAGAAGGAACAAACAGAAAAGACAAAUGAAAAAAUAGAGGAGAGAAGUCAAAUUUUCUUUUCUUUAAUUUUGUAUCUCUAUUCAUUUAUUUUUUUCUUUUCUUUCAAUAAUGUAUAUGAAAAUUAUUGACAGCAAAAUUUUAAAUAACUUCCCAUUUUCUUGCAAAUAAAAACAAAAACAAUUGUUUCAUAGUAUUACUUUUAAAUUUUAUUGUUUGGUUUGCUUUAGAACUAAGAUAUCUUAAAUUAAAUAGAUAAAGAUAGAAUACACUAAAGAGGGGAAAAAAUAAAUGAAAGAAAACAAAAGAAAAAAAGAAAAGUUUUUUUUUUGGGUGUCCUCUUUGUUAGGGUUUUUUCCCUAAUUUUCUUACUAUAUUUAAGUUUUACUUUUUCUUAGAAGAAAAAUAAAAAUUAUCAUAAUUACUUUUACUUUUCCUGAAAGAAAAAAUAUAAUUCUUUUCCAUAUUUGGUUAACCUCUUUCUUGGAGGAAAGGUUUUGGAACUUUAUAAAUAGAAUACCCCCUUCUCAUACCAUAACACAAUAGCAUCCACAAUAUAGUCAUUAAAAUGUCUUUAUUUAGGGGGAGAUUUAUCCCAAUAGAUUUAAUGUUUUUGAUAUUAGGUCUUAUAAUAUGUAGGCCGAUUGGCCAAAACAUAUAAUAACUUCAUGCUUUUAGUAUUGUUUUAUUUGUCGUCUGAAUUAUCACCACGCUAGUUUGCAACUAAUAGCUUCCACAUGAUGCCCUCUCGAUUUCGAACUCAACAAGUGGUAUCAGAGCUUACGGUUCAAUAGUCCAAUGGUGUGGUGAGACAAAAUUAAAUAGGUUCAAAGCGGUUUCAAAAUCAAGUUGCAACCAAUUUAAUGAUAAUGAAGAUAUAUGUCCAAAAACUACAUAUGGAGAUAGUUGUCAAUCAUAUUUUCAACAAUCCUGCUGUCACAUAUUUGAAAAUAAAACUCACUUUUAACCCUGCAAAAGGGCUCCAAUAUUUUUAACCCGAAAAGGGCUAAUAUAUUUUUUAACCCCAAAAGCUCUAUUUUUAAACAUGCCAAACAGCAGUGAUAUAUGAAGAAUAUAUCUGAAGAGCGAAGAUCAUGCACAAGAAGAAGGAGGAUCAAGAAUAUUUUGAAGAAAAUCAAGCCAAAAAGGGGAGAUUUGUUAGGAUUUUUCCCUGAUUUUCUUACUAUAUUUAAGUUUUACUUUUUCUUAAAAGGAAAAUAAAAGUCAUCAUAAUUACUUUUACUUUUUCUGAAAGAAAAAAUAUAAUUCUUUUCCAUAUUUGGCUAACCUCUUUUUUGGAGGAAAGGUUUUGGAACGCUAUAAAUAGAACACCCCCUUCUCAUACUAUAACACAAUAGCAUCCACAAUGUAGGCUUUAAAGUGUCUUUGUUUAGGAGGAGAUUUUCUCUCUAAUAGUUUUAUGUUUUCUUUUAUAUUAGGUUAUAUGUAGGACAAUUGGCCAAAUUAUAUAAUCAUCAUGUUUUUAGUAUAUUUUUCUUUUCUUCUGAUUUAUCGUCUCAAUAGUUUGCAACUAAUAGCUUUCGCAUGACGCUCUCUCGAUUUCGAACCCAACACUCUUUUCAUUCGCUUAUAAAUUUUUAUUUGAGAGAGUGAAAAUAAUGUCAAUGUUAGCAUAAUUGUGCAUAAAUCAUAUAAAAAAUAAAUGCUUAGAGGAAGAAAACAAACGUAAUGACAGAUUAAGUUUGCAUUCCUAAUAUUCUUCAUUACUAUUUAAAAAAAAAAAUCCUAGUUUUAAAAAUAUUUUUGUCUUUUGAAUGAAAAUUGCAUGUAUAAUUUAAAGUGUUGUUUGAUAUUAACUUCAAAUAUGUAUUUUAUUAAGUGAAUAGAAAUAUCGAAUGUUUUUUUUUUUCAUAAAUCCUUUGAGAAAGAUGAUGUGCAAGGUCAGCCUUCCCAAGGUCAUUCGAAUAUUUAUUUUAUUAGUGUUGUCGUUCUUUCCUCCAUUGUUGAAGUUUGAGGGCAGCUUUUUAUAUUUUUUAUCAUUUAUUUUCUCUCUUUUUAAUUCUUAGAAUUAAGUCUUCCGCUAACACAUAAAAGAAAAUAUCUUCUUUUUGUCAUUGAAUUUUUAUUAGAAAAUUUAUACUUUUUUUAUUAAAAUAAUUAAUACUAAAAAUCUGAUAAAAUGAUUAAUUUACUAAUUUUUUAAUAUAAUGAUGACAUAAAUAUCCAAUAAAAUAUUGAUAUCAAAAUGUGACACAUUUGAUAGGGCAAGAAAAGCUACAUUCUUAUUUUCUUUUUCUUUUAUUAAAAGUUCUUCAGUUUUCGCUCAGCUCCCCUCCUCCAAUUUAUAUGGCCAAGCAUUAACAUUUGUGUUUUUAUCAAAUUUUUAAUAUUUAUCUCAUUUUUAAUUACAAAUUAAAUAAAUUCUUAUGUAAAGAUUGACUUCAAUGUAAACAUAAAUUUAUUGUUAUUAUAAUUAAUAUGAUUAAUUACUUUUCCUAAUACUCUUUGUUUUCCUUCUAUGUACGUUAUAUAUUUCCUCCGUUCGAUUUUACUUGUCAUAUUUUGAUGGAAAAAUGACCUUCUAGACCCCUGUACUAUGUCGUUUUUGUAAGUUGGACACUUCUACUUACAUGUUUGUCAUCUGGACCCUUGAACCCAUAAAAAAGCCACAUUUCGCACCCUCUGACCAUUGACCUUACCUAUGUGGCAUUGGAAUGGUGACUACAACAAAGAGAGUGUAGCCACUCGCCUGGGAGUGCGAGUGAGGGCCAAUUUAGGCCAAUUUUACAUAAAAAUAAUUAAAAAAUAUGUUAAAUUUUUUUAAAAAAAGAGACCUUUUUUUUCCUCCAUCUUUUUAAAUUUAAAAAUUUUAAAAAAAUUUAAAAAUUAAAAAAAAAAAAAAAAAAAAAAUAAAAAAGGUCCUCUCCCUCCUCAACCCCGUCCAGCACCCCUACCCCCAACCCCACCGUCCCCCACCCUAUCCACUAGCCCGCCACCCUACCCCACCCCAUCCACCCCUCCAUCACCCUNNNNNNNNNNNNNNNNNNNNNNNNNNNNNNNNNNNNNNNNNNNNNNNNNNNNNNNNNNNNNNNNNNNNNNNNNNNNNNNNNUUUUUAUUUUUUGGGGGAUUAAAAUUUAAAUUUAAAUUGAAAGUGAGUGAUAGUGAAUAUUUAAAAAAAUUAGUGAAUUUCGCUUGAAAAAAAUAAAAUUUUUAUGAAUUUGUUAAAAAUAUUCAAAUAUAAAAAUAAAAAAUUUAUUAUGUUUGUAUAAAUGAAUUUAUAGAAAAAAAUUUAAAUUAGUUGGAGAAGAAUUUUAAUUAUUUGGAAUGGAUUUGAUGUUUAAUUUUGAGCAAACAUAAAAACAUGAUUAUUCAAAUUUUUCUACAAUUUAUAAAUUUUUUUAUUUAAUUAAAUUAAUUUUAAUAUUUAAUUUAUUAUGUAGCAUUUUAAAAAUGACUUGGAAUUUAAUGUAAUAUUUUUUUAUUUUUUUAUUUUUUAUUUUUAAAAAGAUGUGGCAGACGUGGCAGGUGACUGUGGGAGAGUGUGUUAUACUCACCAAAAAAGGGUUAAAACUGUUGCUUUUUAGUGGGUUCAAGGGUCCAGAUGACAAACAUAUAAGUAGAAGUGUCCAACUUACAAAAACAACAUAAUAUAGGGGUCCAGAAGGUCAUUUUGCCUAUUUUGAUUUAGCACACUAAUUAAGGAAAAACAUUAAUAACAUGGUUAUUUUACUAUAGUACCCUACCAAAUCAUGCAACUCUUAGACUAUUCCAGAGGUGAGUUACCUUUUAAAUACCUUGGAAUCCCACUAUCCACUAAAAAGAUGUCCAUAGUGCAAUGGAGCCCAUUAAUUGAUAGAAUUGUAGAAAGAAUCACUUCUUGGACAGCAAAAUACCUACCCUAUGUAGGAAGACUUUAGUUAAUAUAAUUUGUGUUGAUUGGCAUCAAAAUAUAUUGGACACAAUUGUUCACUAUCCCAGCCAAGGUGCUAAGGAUCAUUGAAAGUUAUUGUAAAAGCUACUUAUGGUCUGGAGGCAAUGUCAUCACAAAGAAAGCUUUAGUUGCGUGGGACAAAGCUCUUACCAAAGAAUGUUGGAGGACUGAACAUUCUAAGCAUUGUAAAGUGGAAUAAAGCUGCAGUAACUAAGUUGUGUUAGGAUAUAACUGCUAAGAAAGAUGCAUUGUGGAUCAAGUGGGUUCAUGCAUAUUACAUCAAAGGAGUUGAUUUCCAACAGGCUGCUACCCUAAAGCAAGCAGCAUGGCUUAUUAGGAAGAUAUUUGACAACAGAGGCAUCCUUCUGGCAACAAAAAGGAACUUAGAUCCUAAGAGUAAGAUCACAAGACAAAUAUAUCACCAGCUACUGGAAAAUGAAGAAAGCAAAAGCUGGAAAGGGAUGAUGUUUUGCAACUAUGCUCGGCCAAAAGCCAUCUUUAUUUUGUGGCUACAUUUACAGAGAAGGCUGAUGACCAAGGAUUGAUUAACUAAAUGGGGCAUUGAAGUGGAUUUGAAAUGUGUUUUUGGUCAACAAGAAGAUAAAACGAACCAACACUUAUUUACCACAUGUGCUAGCGUCAAAACAACCUGGGCCAGCACUCUAAGGUGCCUGCAGGUAACAGAACCACAAUGUACAUCCUGGAGAAGACAACUAGAAUGGGUCGUGCAGCAGGCAAAAGGAAAAACAAGCAGAGCCCUUCUUUUCAAAAUGGCUUACACAAAAUUCAUAUAUUUCAUAUGGCAAUAGCGCAAUCAACGGGUGUUUGAGAAAAAGAGAAAACAGUCCGAGCAAGUAGACAGAGAAAUAGAGUAUUCAUGUUGUAUACGAGCACCAUCUAGAUUGAAAGUUGAAAUUGAUAGAUGUCUAGCAUGCUGUUAGAAGAGAGGUGAAGUAGCAAACUGAGUAGUAGCUGGUUGAGUCAUAAAACAGUUACACUUAUGUAUUUACUACUUGGUGAUUAAUAAAAUGUUAGUUACCAAAAAAAAUGACAUAUGAAGGUAGAAAUCCAAUUAGGAAAUUAGUGACAAAUAAAAGCAAACAGAGGAAGUACCAUUUUCUUCCUCCCUUAAGCUAAUCAUUAUUUCUAUUUAUAAGUUUCCUUAAAUUUCUCCUUUUCCUUAUUUUGUUUUCCAUUUUAAAUGAGUUUUAUUGCAAUUAAUUAAUAAACUUAAAUUACAGUCUAUAUUUUCUUGAUUAUGUGUGUUAAUGAUAGUAAGAGUUUUAUUUUCUAUUUUAUACUUUUGAAAUUUGUAAAGCGGAACUUGAUGAGACUUUAAUACUUUUAUUAUUAUUAGUAUUAUAAAGAAACAUAAGGUCGAAGAGUUUUAUUCUUUUAAGCAACAUAAAAUGAUAGUAAUUGAGACAAUUAUUUAAUAUGACUUUUUGUUACUAUAAAUACUAGAGACUUGUUUUUUAUUGCAUAACUUUCUACAUUUCUGUGACAUAACUUUCUUGAGAAAAUUGAAGGAAAGGUUUCAUUUAAGUCUUGAAUGAAGGAUUGGUGACAUUGAUCAACUUAAAGGGUCAAACAUAAUUAGAAAACUUAAUUAAGUUAAUUGUGGACUUAAUUAGUAUUUUUAAAACUUUCUAAUCUUUUCAAAAAUAUAAAUCAACCCACACCCCUCUCCUCUGCAAAUGAACUAUCUCUCUCCUCUCUCUCUCCCCCAAUCAACAGUUCUGUAAAAUUUCUUCCCUCAAUCCCCAGCAAUUUCAACCUCCAGCAAAAAAUAGUUGAGCGAGUUUCUUUUCGACUUUCAACCGUCAAUCAACGUGACAACAGUGUUCUUCAGUAACAACAAUUUUGAGUUAUUCAUCGUCCCAUUUCUUCUUUCACAGGUAAAAAAAUUAUGUCUUUUUAGUUAUGAAGAAAAAGAGGAACUUGAGCCAACUUCUCUUCUAGUAUUGGUUAACAAUUUAAAUAUUUCUUGCUUAAAUUUGAAAUGUGGACUGAAGAAGACCCUAAUUUCUGGCAUUUCUUCUCUACUAUUUUUGGUGUGAAAUAUAAUUUUUUAUUGUUAUUGUAGCUCUUGUUGUCAAACUGUUGAUUCGAUUUGUUGGUGUCUAUUGUAUUUUUUGAAGUUUAAUUUUUGUUGUUUGUGUUUGUAAAAAUGCAAAAAAAACAAUGUUGGUGAUUUUUUGUUACCAUUGAUAUUCUUAGUGUGUGUGUUGUGUUGAUGUUGCUGGUUGAUUUGUUGUUUUUCUUUGUAAAAAUAGUGUAUUUGAUAUUAAAUGGUGAUAGUGUUGUUGUUUUAUUAAACAAAAUCUUAGUACUAUUUUUUCUACAAUAGAUGAACCAUCUGAUGCAACAGAUGAAUCUUCUAAUGCAACUGAUGAACUAUCUGAUGUAACGAUGAAAAUAAGAUGUAACAGAUUAAAAUAUGAUGCAAUAAUGAAAAUCUGAAGCAACAGAUGAACAAUCUAACAGAUCAUUCAUCUGUUGUGAUAGAUGACUCUUCUAUUUGGAAGAAACCUAACAAUAUUGACAGUUGAUAAUAGUUCCAACAGGUAACUCAUUUGGCAACAGAUGAGUGAUCUGUUUUUACUAUUUCCAAUGGAUUACUCAUCCGUUGCAACAAGUUGGUUAUAUGUUGCAAUAGGUAACAUACCUGGUGCAACAGAUCAGUCAUCUAUUUCAGCAGAUGAGUGAUCUAUUUUUAUUAUUGCAAUAAAUUACUUAUCUAUUCAAUAGGUUAGUCAUAUGUUGCAACAGAUAAUCUACCUGGUGCAACAGAGGAGUGAUCUUUUUUAUUAUUUCUAAUGGAUUACUCAUUCGUUUCAACAAGUUGGUUAUAUGUUGCAACAGGUAACAUACCUGCUGUAACAGAUCAGUCAUUUGUUUCAAUAGAUGAGUGAUCUAUUUUUAUUGUUGUAAUAAAUUACUCAUCCAUUACAACAGGUUAGUUAUAUGUUGCAACAGAUAACCUACCUGGUGCAACAAAGGUGUGAUCUGUUGGAACUGUUAUGUUAUUAUUGUACAUGUUUGAUUUACUGUUAUCCUUUUUUAACGAUACAUUAAUCAAUUAUAAUUUAUUUUAUGUUCUUGUUAUUUUUAGAUUAUAUGGCUUCCAAAAGAAAAGAAACCGAAUCAAGUCUAAGUAAAGUAACAAGUGAAGCAGCUAGGCUACAUCCACCACUCUAUGAGCUUGCUUUACAAGAUUUAUCUCAAUCAGAAAUAGAAGAUAAUGAACAUGGAGAGGAGGAAUGUUUCAAAAGAGAUAAUCCAAAUUCUAAUAGCCCUUCCACCAAAGAGUUGGUCAAAACCUUCAGCAUUGAUAGUUAUCCAGUGAGAAUGCAGUGUGAUGGUGCCACAGAUUUAACGGGUGAUUUCAUGGUUAAGUCAGCUAUGGAAAAGUCUUUUGACGCUUUCAGAAAAAUACUUCGUGAAAAAAAUUUGGAAGCUUAUUUUAGGGAUAGCUGCUUUGGGCAAUAUCUUGACUUACCGGAGGACAACAAUGCUCAUUUUCAAAUGAAAUGAUAUAUGAUCUUCUCAAGCAUAGUUUUAUGUCUGAAAACAAAGAUAAGAUGGAUGAGAUGUAGAUAAAUUACUGUGGCAUGUAUGUUUGUUUUGGUUAGAGGAAGUUUGUCAUAGUUAUUGGAUUAAAAUGUUAUCCUCUUUCUCCUUCUUAAUUUAUACCAAGUCUAACCCCAAAAAAGCACCCCACACACCCUAAAAAGACAAAGGUAAGUCGAGUAAUCGUGAUGACCUAGUGUCCCUUGUUGGUCCAAGCUUCAAAAAUAUAAAUUUGAUAAAAGCGUUGAAAGGUAAAAGACUUUCAAAGAAGCACAAUCAAUCAUUGUGCUUGGUUUAGUUUGUACAUAAUAUUCUUUGGAAGAGACGUUAACAACAACAUACAACUUGGUUUGAUAAAUCUCUCCGAGGAUCUUGAGGCAUUUAACAGCUAUCCUUAGGGUUGUGAAAGCUUCAAAAUGACUGUCAAAUAUUUGUUGACUCCGUUAACUCCAAAGACAGUCAACUUAUAUGGCUUUCCAUGGGAUUUCAUGGUAAAUAUUUCUUUUAUUAUGACAUGAUUCAUUUUUUGAUCCAAUAAUAUUUUUGAUUUAUUGGUGUUAUUUUAUAGGUUUGGGCAUUUGAAGUCAUUCCUUAUUUGAGAUAACAAGUGAACCACCCGAAAAAAGUUUUCUGUCCAAGAAUCCUGAGAUGGUUGUCGGCCAAUACUGAUAAAAAUGUAAAAUUUCUUGAUCUCUUCUACCCCUCAAAGGAAGCAGUAAGUCUAAUUCUAAUUAAGUUUUUAUUUUAAUUAAUGAUUUUUUAAAAUAAUUUCAUCUUUAUUCUAAUAUAUGUACUGAUUUAUUUUAGAUUGUCCAUCCAUGGCUUGUUCCGACCAAUCGAGAGUUGAAGAUUCCAUUUUUUCUUACUUUACGAUCUGUGCAAACUUUAUCGGACCCUAAGGUCAUUGAUAGAAUAAAAAAGAAAUUAUUUGGAGCAAUAGUCACCAUAAGAAAAAUAAUUUUGGAGGGUGGAUUUGUUGUUGUUGAUGAUGGUAGUGGUAGUGGUGCUAUUGUUGGAUCUAAUGAUGCUCCUCUUAUAAUUUCUGAAACAACAAACCACUAUGAUUAUGAUCAUACUGGUUAUACAGAUUUUGCCACUUCUAGCAAAUGUUCGGCAUGCAAAUAUCAAGACUACAAGGUGAAACAUGAUGAACUGAUUAAUGUUAUUAAUGUAUUAACUUAUUCUGUAAAGAAAAUAACAUCUAAGAGGGGUGUCAUUCCAUCAGAGAGGAUUUCAUAUCCAUACACUCCAUUAGAGAUCAAGGUGUCUAAGAGGAGAAGGAAAAAAAAUUCCAAGGCAUCAUCAAGCAUCGAAAAAAGCAAAAUUACAACUCUUCUGUCUUUAUCUUGCACCUUUGAUCAAUGUACAAGAGCCACAGGAGAGCAGCAUGAGCUAAGAAGGUGAAUAUAUAUCAUCUAUUCCAACAAACAAACAAACACAUAUCUAUUUCAACAGAUGAUACAUCUACUAAAAAUUAUCAAACAGAUAUAUAUGCAUCUAUUACAACUGUCGUCUAACCUGUUGUAUCAGAUGCGUUAUCUAUUGCAACAUAUGUUCGUCUGUUUUAGUAAAUCAAACAGGUAUUCGUACUAUUUUAAUUUAUAUCAAUAGAUGAGCCAUAUGUUGCAACAGAUUGAUCAUCUGUUCGAAAUUAUCUUACAGCUCUAUUUUACCUAUUUGAAUUUAUCCCAACAGAUGAUACAUCUGAUGCAACAUAUAGAUAAUCUAUUGUACAUCUGUGAUUAGCAUUAACAAUUCUGGCUUUCCAGGUGGAUGUCACAGCAGAAGCUACUGCUGAACAACAUAAUAUCACAGUUGAUAAUCCAUCAACUGUUUCUAUGAAAGAAGAAAAAGUAGAGCCUGUCAGUUUGGGAGAACAAAAGAAUUACCCGUUUGAAAGGUUCAACAUCUCAAACGAGGCUCCAAAAAACUAACAAAGUUGAUCAACGACUAUUCAAAAUUGAUUGUCGAUGGGCUGUUAAAGCAUCAUGCCGACAGGUACAUAAAUUAUUUUUAAAGAUAUUGAGUUAUACAAUUCUUGUUGUAAAAACAUGACAUUAACAUAUAUAAAUUAUGUAGAAAAUAAAAUGACGAAUACUACAAAGUGAAUGAAUCGAGUCUUGAUUUUGAUAUAUUCGAUUUUGUUGUUUUGACAUUCCGAAAUAAAGUAUUGGUUCUAUUUGAUGUCACAACCCCAAACUUGUUGGAUUGAUGAGGUUUAAAUGUCAUACACAUUACUAUUAAUUAAUAUUUUAUUUAAUUGCAUCUGCAUAGUAAUUUUAUUAUCACGUAAUCUGAAAUGUUUGAUAAUAUGUGCAGCACAUCAAUGUCAUUUUUUACCACCUCCGAAAAAAGGUCAAGUUGCAAACACAAGAACAAUACAGAUACACGACAGAUAAUUGUUUAUACAAAGUUUACAUCAAUAAUGCCUAUGAUAGGUUUUGUCAACAACAGCCGCAAGUUUCCCGAAAUGAGGAAUGGUUAAUCAACAUCAUCAAAGAUUUUAGCAUUCCAGCUGGCUUACCUCGGUAUUUGAUCGAUGGAGUGUACAUCUCAAUCAAUUAUGGUGAUGAAUUCCAUUGGGUGUUGGUUGUCGUCAUUCUAAAAGAAAGAUGCAUCCAAGUUUAUGACUCGAUGUCGCAAAGGAGAUGUUUCGAGCCAUCGUCUGAGAUACAAAAGCUGGCCAAAAUAUUGCCUACUUACCUUGAUAUGAGUGAUUUUUUGGACCAAAAGAUUCGUACUGAUUGGUCGACGAUUAAAGCAUACCGGGAUAAAAUGGGUAAUCCAUUUGACGUAGAAUAUAUUGAAGGAAUUUCUCAACAAUCCAUUGGUAGCUUGUAAGUAUCAUGAUUUAGUUUCAUUUCAUAAAUUUCACAACGCUUACAUGAAUUGCAAUAUAUGGAUUAUCCAUUUAUUAAAAAUGCAAGAAUUGCGGUCUUUUUGUUGCCACUUACGCCGAGUAUUUGAACGAUGGAUUAAAAGUACCAAAUGAUCGACUUGAUACCGGAUUACUCCGAAAAAUAUAUGCUCUUUUAUGGAAAUAAUGAGAAGCGAAAGCGCAGAAAUCGUACGCAAGCGACAUUAAAGAUCCACGACGAUCAAAGCUGAAUUCCAUAGCAUCGAAUGAAAAAACAACUUGUCCAUAUUGAGUAAAUCCUUAUAGCUUGAGUCUGUCAAAGUAAUAACCUCUCCUUGGGAAUUAUUGGCACCAAAAGUUAAAUUGUUGAUUUGUUUGUAGAGUAGAUGAUUUGUUUGUAGCAUAGAUCAUUUGUACCCAUAUAAUUUUUUUUACAUUUCAUUUAUUUGUUGAGUUAUUUCAUGUAAUUUCUGAAGGCUUCGAUUUAUUUUAUGUUGUCUAUGAAUAUAGUUUAAUCCUUAGUUUUGAACUUAUUACUUGAAAUGAAAUACUAGAUUCAAAUAUUGCAACAUAUAAUACAUCUGUUGCAAUAGACGACAUAUCUAUUGGAAAUUAUCAAACAGAUUUAGACAUAUAUUGCAACAUGCAGCUCAUCUGUUGGAAAUUAUCAAAAAAAUCCUCCUACUGUUUUGAUUUGUUCCAAUAGAUUACCAAUUAGUUGCAACAGAUAGACUAUAUGUUACAACAAAUUGUAUAUUUGUUAUGACAGAUAGACUGAGAAAUAUUUGCAUAAUGCAACAGAUGACCAAUCCAUUGCAACAGAUAAUAAAUCUAUCACAAAAGAUACUAUCUGUGACAACAGAUAGACAAUCUGUUGCAUUAUAAAAAAUUUAACUUUCGUCAAACAUAAAAAAUUGUCACUACAUGUAAAGUGAAGUGGCUUGAAAUAAAAAAUUGUUAUGGUGUAUGUCUUUGUACAUCUUCUUUAUACACAGGCUCCAAGCAUCUAGUUAGUACCCCAUAAGCCCAGGCCUCUUGCAUCUUUUCCAAAACGAUGUCGCACAUACCAGUCAUUUCUAUGUCGGUCAGCAAACAUUCGAUGUAUGCAAGCACGUACUGCCCGCACGUGGCACCGAUAUUAUUUUUUUGAAGGUCCAUGUCCUUGUUUUGACUUUCAAAAUCCCAUACUUUUUUCAUCAACACUUUCGCUGACAAAUGAUCCAUCAGUUUACUCUGCCUCAAUAAACUUAGGAGCAACUCCAACAGUGGUUGUACAUGGGUAAAAUUGCAGUCGUCGAAAACAGCUAAGUUGCAGUCAUAAACUUUAAUCGUUCCCUCCUCGAGAAAUAUCUCAAUAACGAGAAAAUGUUUGACUUCCACGUUUAUGACUGCAAGAAUUCUCUUUGCCUUGGUCUAUCUCUUGUCGUGUGGAUAUGACCUCUUCCCUCUAACAUAGUUAAUCGUAUCUUCAUCUCCAUUGGAACCUAGAAACUAACGAAUCAAAUCCUUGGCCACCGAGAGUUGGCGCUAGCUUACUGAGCUCAUUGAACCUAUUCUUGAAAUUGUUGUAGAAGUUGAGGUCAAUUAUCCUAUCGGCAGCACCAUAAGCAUCUGGGUACGCUAAUUGUCUGUCACUCAUGAGGCAGAGAAUUUCAUCAACAUUUUGUGAUAUAAGAAGAUAUUUUUUAAAUAGGUUAGUAAUUGUAAGGAAGAAAAACAUAGUGGAAAGAUGCAACUGGUCCAAUUGUUAAAGAGAAUUCUCUAAAUCUGUUCACAGAUUCCCUAGCUAACGCAACUUAUGCAACAGAUGUUUAAUCUGUUGCAACAGAACCACCACCAGUUGCAUCAAAAUACCCUGUUAUUGCAACAGAUUACAAAUCUGUUGCGUAGCUUCUUCUUCAUGGAGUUGAUUAGAAGGCUAGGUUAGGAAAAGUAAACUUACCUUGUCCACGUACCACUUACACAUAUUUGUCAUACUCUUGAAGUCUUGGGCGUCAAACAUAUGCAUGGUGUAUUCUUGUGCAAGUUUCUUCUUCUUGGCAUACGUGGUCUUUCCCAGUUCCUUCCUCUCUUCAUCGCCAAGUGCUAGGUAUAUGUCCACCUUCUUCAAUCGCCCCAGAACUUCAACAACUUUUAGAGAGGGAGGAGUUGUAAUUUUUUUUGUUUUCAGACAGGAUAGUAACUGACUAAUUUUUCUUUUCUUCCUCUUAACCGUCACUGUAGGUCUGUAUGGCUCCCUCACCUUCUUGGAUGGUAUGACACCCUUCUUGGAUUUCAAUUCCUCAACAGCUUCAGCGAUAGUCUCUAAUUUUUUAAGGAGUUUAUCUUGUCUGUCCUUGCACACUUUGCAUUUGCAAUGAGAACAUGAGGUAAAGAUGGGUGAGAGAGACCACUGUAAGGAUGGGAGGUACCGAUGUAAGGGUGAGAGGGACCUAUAUAAAGGGUGAUUUCAAAUGUAUUUAUUUUUUUCUUGAGCAUCAACAUGCUCAACAUCAUAACUGGCAGCAGCAGCAGCAUCAGGAUGGCUGCCACCAACAUCAACAACACCUCCAGCAAUACCCCUAGAAAAAGCACCCAGAUCUGUUGCAGUAUGUUGGUUAUGAAGAGCUUCAACAUUAAGCUGAUCUUGCCUAACUGCUCUUCUUAUGGCUGUUGCUCCAGCCAAUUUCCUCUUUAUUAACUCCGCUGUUGGGUCUGCUAUUGUAUCAACACGACCUAGAGUAAUAAAAGAAGUCAUUCCCGACUCCUGCUCAGUAGGCACGAUCCAAGAAUGCGCAAUCUAUAAAAAAAUAGAUACAUUUAAAUCAUAUAAUAAUAAUUUACAGUCAGUUGGAUUACAAGUUAACACAGUCAACUUGUGCAACAGAUGAUCUGUCGCAACAGCUGAUCUGUAUGUCGUAAUAGAUUAAUAAUAUAUUGCAUCAGAUUACCCAGCUGUUGCAUAAUUUGCAGUAGAUGGGUAAUCUGUUGAGUUAGUUAACCUAAAUGCUAGGAAACAACUUAUUUGGAUUAGUGGAAUCAGUUUCAACCAAACAUUAAGUAAUUUCAGGCUCAUUAACCUAUCAAAUCCUUUGAGGGUUGGUUGAACAAGCUGCAUUGAACAAUGCUCGAGAAAGUGAGUUGUUCAACCGUUGGGACCAUUGCUUAAGUAUGCAUCAGCACGUUGACCUAAAACAAACAUAGCGACCUACUAUGUACCAUUUAAGUUUUCUUAAGAAAGUGCUCUGGAAGCCUCCUGAAGGCCUUUUACAAUGCCACAACUUCGAAGAAAAUGUUCCUCAUUGUCGAGCUCACAAAAGACCAAGAACUCUAUACUAACCUCAAAGAUGGCAACGACAAACUUGAAUACCGAAUCAACAAGCUAGAGACAAACUUAAAAAUUAUCGGAAUUCACAUACUAUAAGAAGUAUCUGAUCUUCUCUAAGAUAUAUUAAAAGCAUACUAAGGCAAGAAAACACAACCAAUUAUAUUCAUAUUUUUAAGGAAGAAAUAAUACUCAAUCUGCCUUUCAAUCUUGUUUAUGGUUAUGAUCAGGUCAAUAACAGUGGACCUAAUCGAAACCACAAACAAGAAGGCAUGGGAUGCAAUUUAAAAUUCAGAAAUUACCAUUUUCGCUUAGAUUCCUUAUUUUAAUUGCAGUUGUUCUUGGUGCAAGUUUUCUUGACUUACUGUACAUCAUUUCAACCCUCAGUGUCCGCAAAGCUACUUUCUUGAUGUUCUGUUAUUUUCUAUGUAGGUGAUCACUGUCGUACCCAUUUUUUACCUAAGGUCAAAACGUGCACAACAUUAUGAACUCUAAAAGAAUUAAUUUUGUACAAUAUCAUCACCUAAUUUUUAAGAAAAAUAAAGAAACCUAUUUAUUUAUUAACAUGUAUAACUUGUGCUUUAAUCUACACACCAAUUUGAAUUCUAGGUAAAAGUUUAAAUUAUUCCGAAGGAAAGGAAUUAGACACCCUUCAGAAUCCACAAAUGUUGUUUCCAACCAGAUUUAGGUUUAUUAAAAAAUGAAGAAAAAAUCAAUGUGCAUACAUACAAAUAUAAAAUGUGUAAAAAUGAUGUAAAUAAUUUAUAUGUAAAGAAUGUAUAAAUUAUAUAUACUAUAGUAAAAAUAUGUAUGAAGAUACUAAAAUAAAAUUAUAUAUAGGAAUAUAUAUGAAAAGAAAAAUAAAGAUUGAAUAAAGAAAAAUUUGUUUUAAAGAAAAAAAAUAUCGUAAUGUUUUCAAAGUAAAAAAGUAUGAAUUAUUUUUAUUAAUUAUCUAAAUCGAUUUAAUGUAUAUAUUAACAACCUAGACUUGCCUAAAUUUGCCUAUACGCGUGAUGAAAAUUGUGUAAAUAAAGAAUAUCUCACCCAACACCUCAAAAGUAAAGUUUUCACUAUAAUAAUAUUUGUACAAUUAUAAGAAUAUAAAAUACAACACAAAAUUUAAAGUUAUCUUUGAAUGCAACUCCCGACGAAUAUUCUCAAUAACUUGUAUGAAUAUUUGUAAUAAAAAUAUUAAUAAUAAAUAAAUAAUUAUCUAAAUAAAUUUAAAAGGUAAGUAUACAUAUAUAUUUAUUGUAAAAAAGUGGGCUCAGUUAAGUUUUAAAUAUUAUAAGAAUUUUGUAUCGCCCGAAAAUAUUUAUUUUUAUUACGUAAUUACAUACGUAAAAUUUGUCUUUUUAUUUGUGAAGGCCUCAAAAACCGACGAUAAUUUUUUCAUUGGCCAACUAAUGUAGUAUCUGUUCGUUAUCGGUCAAACAUAUCCAAAAAUCAGUAAAAGAGAAAAAAUGCCACUUGAACUGACCCCAAAUCUGCAAACACAAGUAUGGAGUGAAACAGCACCAUUAAAAAAGAUUGACGAGUCAUCAAAAAUGUGCAAAAACAAGAAUCAAUCCAAAACGUCAGAAUUAGUGUUAGAACAGAGCAACAAUCAACCAAAAAUCAUCAUAAAUGGAUCCCAAAACAAGCGAUAUCCGUCGGAGAAAACCAAGAUCUCGCUGAAAAAUCCAACAUCACCAGAAAGUAUUUGUUCAGUCAGAUUUGUCUAACUACGGUCAGAUCUAAAAAAAUAAAAUUAUACAAGAACAAACACAAUAAAAAUAUUGUCAAGCAUUGAAAGUAAAUGAAGAAACCAACCAACACCGCUACUUCGACGGCGAUGGAACGCCGGAGCAGCGGAUCUUUCGUGCCAAGUUCGAGAAGAUCUACGAGGGGGGCGUGUCUCGACGGAGCUCUUUCCGGAGGAGAGACAGCAGUGCAAAUGAAAGGAUAAGGGAGGCGGCCGGAGUUGUUGGAGCGGCUGGCGAUACGAGGCUCGCCGGUGAGGGAGAGCCUAUCGAGGUGUCGGCUGUAUGGUGGUGAUAUGGUGUUUUGGGAUUUGUGGGUUGUUGGGCAACGGGGAAAUAGGGUUCGGAGGUCGUGGCUGAACGUUGGUGGUGCGGCUGAAACUCGCCGGUCACCACUCCCGGCGAGCCAGCGACGGAGGAGAUAGAAAGGGAGAGAGACGUAAGUUUUGAGAGAGAAAUGGAUAAAAAUCUGAUUUGUAUGUGUGUAAAAAUAAUUUACCCUUUCUUUAUUUUAUAAUACAAAAUAAUCCCUCGUUUUUAUUUAAAAUAUUAAAUUAUCCUCUUUAACCAUUAAACAAUAUGUUAUUAACUAAAGGAUAAAAGAUUCAACCAAUCAUCUCAAUUGUCAUCGUUUAAAAAAUUAAUAUGAUUUUGAGUUAAUUAAUUUAUUGCUCUGUCUAUAAAAAAAAAUAAUUAAGCCUAUAUUAU